This 71-nucleotide transfer RNA is filed under the name Bos taurus (domestic cattle). It matches the Rfam family "tRNA". From Rfam's summary of the family: Transfer RNA (tRNA) molecules are approximately 80 nucleotides in length. Their secondary structure includes four short double-helical elements and three loops (D, anti-codon, and T loops). Further hydrogen bonds mediate the characteristic L-shaped molecular structure. tRNAs have two regions of fundamental functional importance: the anti-codon, which is responsible for specific mRNA codon recognition, and the 3' end, to which the tRNAs corresponding amino acid is attached (by aminoacyl-tRNA synthetases). tRNAs cope with the degeneracy of the genetic code in two manners: having more than one tRNA (with a specific anti-codon) for a particular amino acid; and 'wobble' base-pairing, i.e. permitting non-standard base-pairing at the 3rd anti-codon position. The record is from Rfam by way of RNAcentral. RNAcentral also lists the same sequence under 4 other names. Lineage: Eukaryota; Metazoa; Chordata; Mammalia; Artiodactyla; Bovidae.
UCCCUAGUGGCUCAGAUGGUAAAGCAUCUGUCUGCAACACAGAGACCCGGGUUUGAUCCCUGGGUUGGGAA